CCUACGGGGGGCAGCAGUGGGGAAUAUUGGACAAUGGGGGCAACCCUGAUCCAGCCAUGCCGCGUGUGUGAAGAAGGCCCUCGGGUUGUAAAGCACUUUCAGUGAGGAAGAACGCCUGGUGGUUAAUACCCAUCAGGAAAGACAUCACUCACAGAAGAAGCACCGGCUAACUCCGUGCCAGCAGCCGCGGUAAUACGGAGGGUGCGAGCGUUAAUCGGAAUUACUGGGCGUAAAGCGCGCGUAGGUGGCUUGAUAAGCCGGUUGUGAAAGCCCCGGGCUCAACCUGGGAACGGCAUCCGGAACUGUCAAGCUAGAGUGCAGGAGAGGAAGGUAGAAUUCCCGGUGUAGCGGUGAAAUGCGUAGAGAUCGGGAAGAAUACCAGUGGCGAAGGCGGCCUUCUGGACUGACACUGACACUGAGGUGCGAAAGCGUGGGUAGCAAACAGGAUUAGAUACCCGAGUAGUC
Molecule: ribosomal RNA, 465 nt
Filed under: Vreelandella stevensii
Lineage: Bacteria; Pseudomonadati; Pseudomonadota; Gammaproteobacteria; Oceanospirillales; Halomonadaceae
Description: partial 16S ribosomal RNA
Rfam family: Bacterial small subunit ribosomal RNA
Source: RNAcentral